UUGUGUCAGCAGCAUGAGUCAGCAAGAGAGCAGAAGCAAGAAGAGAGCCGGCUGGAAGACACCUACCCUGGCCGGAAGGCACCUAUCCCUGAAGAUCAAGAAAGAGGCCAUCCAGCAAGGCAAGCUACUUCUAUAGAAGACUGAGCCCUUACAGAUGGAACAAUGGGCCACUCUCCAGCCUGCUCAGCAUAAACUGGACCCCUACCCUCAAGCUUCUGCUUGGUUUCGGUGGAGGUCUGAUGCUUGUUGAUUCUCUCGGUAAGUUACUGCAGGUUGACUAUGUCCCUCUAGCAAAAGGCACAGCUCUUUCAGGCAACCCCUGGGCAUGCCUCCCCUCCCCAACUCCUUCAGGCCCAAGUGGGAGCUUCUCAGGCUCCACUGGUUUCCCUGUUCCUUGCACACUGCCCUUUGGGUGGGUACAACAUCCGUUUCCUGCUGGGAGACUGCUCAGUCUGAUUUGUUUAUGUAUUUAUUAUAAACAAAAAAGAGAUGAAAGUACAUUGAUUUUGAAAGAGAAAAUGCAUUUAAAAAGUUCUAGACAAAUGGUGUAAAUUAAUGAAAAUUUGAAAAGGACCCCUCCACCUCCACCAAAAAAAAAAGGACAUAUGGAAGUAAAAUGACAUCUUGCCCUGUCACCAUUGUAAGUAUGUACAUCACAUCUCCCCAUCAUAUAAAGGAGAUUUUUUCAUUCUGAAAUGCAAACAAAAGGAAAAACUAGGGUUAGCACCCGGUAUACUACUAGUCCCCCCAGAAAUGUGUUACUGGACCAACACGUUCUUAUGCUUGCUGUCCAGUAACAGAUCAAUACACAAAGACAGCAGGGUUUGCAGCAGAGAAAGAGUUUAAUGGUCUUAGCAUGACCAAGCAAACGGAAGGAGACAGUCAAAUCUGUCUUGCCAAGGAGUUCUGGGCUGGGGCUUUUAAGGGGAUUGUGGAGGGGAGGGGCUAGAAAAUUGGGGUCAAUGAUUGGUUGGGAUAAAGGGGAUGAAAGCAUCAGGAUGUGGACACCACAUUCUUUGGUGAGUCGGCUUCUUGUGGGGUCCUUCAGAGCAGCUGGCGUCUGUAGUUUCACUCGUGUGCAGGACCUGAAAGAAUAUCUCAAAUGGAAAACUUGAUAUUUCACAAUGUUCAAGAUGUUAUCUAUAGAACAGUUCUAAGGAGAGCUAUAAUCUUGUGAUGGGGUAUUCCAGAAAAACUCUCAAACCAUGUUUUUCCUCUGCUCUCGCACCACUACAACAGCAAUCAUUAACACAGAAGAAGGCUUCUGUGACCAAGUGUGUGGGGAUUUCUUCCCACCACCAAAGGAGCAAUUAAUUCUGCAGUGAACACCAGCGGGAUGUUCUCCAAAUCAAUUUCAACACUACCUACCUGGAGGCAAUCCCACAGGUUGAGGGCUCAGGGGAAACCAACAUGAACAUGGACAUCAUGCUGUUUCCUGUGCCAUAAGUGAUAAAGUCCUUUGCCUC
Long non-coding RNA from Macaca mulatta (Rhesus monkey), 1466 nucleotides. RefSeq lists it as uncharacterized. The record is from RefSeq and is a predicted model, not a curated record. NCBI's taxonomy places the organism in Eukaryota, Metazoa, Chordata, Mammalia, Primates, Cercopithecidae.